RNAcentral lists this ribosomal RNA (532 nucleotides) under Vibrio parahaemolyticus. RNAcentral's name for it is "bacterial SSU rRNA". It matches the Rfam family "Bacterial small subunit ribosomal RNA", at positions 467 to 998 of the family's 1533-position model. Lineage: Bacteria; Pseudomonadati; Pseudomonadota; Gammaproteobacteria; Vibrionales; Vibrionaceae. The record is from RNAcentral.
AUUUGACGUUAGCGACAGAAGAAGCACCGGCUAACUCCGUGCCAGCAGCCGCGGUAAUACGGAGGGUGCGAGCGUUAAUCGGAAUUACUGGGCGUAAAGCGCAUGCAGGUGGUUUGUUAAGUCAGAUGUGAAAGCCCGGGGCUCAACCUCGGAAUUGCAUUUGAAACUGGCAGACUAGAGUACUGUAGAGGGGGGUAGAAUUUCAGGUGUAGCGGUGAAAUGCGUAGAGAUCUGAAGGAAUACCGGUGGCGAAGGCGGCCCCCUGGACAGAUACUGACACUCAGAUGCGAAAGCGUGGGGAGCAAACAGGAUUAGAUACCCUGGUAGUCCACGCCGUAAACGAUGUCUACUUGGAGGUUGUGGCCUUGAGCCGUGGCUUUCGGAGCUAACGCGUUAAGUAGACCGCCUGGGGAGUACGGUCGCAAGAUUAAAACUCAAAUGAAUUGACGGGGGCCCGCACAAGCGGUGGAGCAUGUGGUUUAAUUCGAUGCAACGCGAAGAACCUUACCUACUCUUGACAUCCAGAGAACUU